AGUUAAGUGAACAAGGGCAUACGGCGGAUGCCUUGGCGCCAAGAGCCGAUGAAGGACGCGGUAAGCUGCGAAAAGGUAUGGUAAGGAGCAAGCAUCCAGUGACCCAUACAUUUCCGAAUGGGGCAACCCAUCAUCAGUAAUGUGAUGAUACGAAAGAGGCAGACCCGGGGAACUGAAACAUCUAAGUACCCGGAGGAAAAGUAAUCAAAUGAGAUUCCCUAAGUAGCGGCGAGCGAAAGGGGAAGAGCCCAAACCAGAUAACUUCGGUUGUCUGGGGUUGAGGACUGGCAAAAAGAGGAAACUUCUUAGCCGAAUGGUCUGGAAAGGCCAUGCGUAGAAGGUGAAACACCUGUAGGCGAAAAGGAGUGAAUCGGGCUGGUAUCCAGAGUACUACGAGACACGUGAAACCUUGUAGGAAGCAGGGGGGACCACCCUCCAAGGCAAAAUACUAAUUGGCGACCGAUAGAGAAUAGUACCGUGAGGGAAAGGUGAAAAGAACCCCGGGAGGGGAGUGAAAUAGAACCUGAAACCGUAUGUCUACAAGCAGUCGAAGCACCUUAAGAGUGCGACGGCGUGCCUAUUGAAGAAUGAACCGGCGAGUUACAUUAUGUUGCGAGGUUAAGUGGGAGACACGGAGCCGAAGCGAAAGCGAGUCUUAAUAGGGCGACAAGUAACAUGGUGUAGACCCGAAACCGCAGUGAUCUAUCCAUGGUCAGGUUGAAGCGCAGGUAAAAAUGCGUGGAGGACCGAACCCGUGAGUGUUGAAAAACUUUGGGAUGAACCGUGGAUAGGGGUGAAAUGCCAAUCGAACGCGGAGAUAGCUGGUACUCCCCGAAAUAGCUUUAGGGCUAGCCUCAGGGAAGAUUAUAGACGGUAGAGCACUGUUCUGGUAAGGGGGCGUAAAGCCUACCGACCCUAGACAAACUUCGAAUGGCUAUAAUUAAGACCCUGGGAGUCAGACUGCGAGUGAUAAGACCCGUAGUCAAGAGGGAAACAGCCCAGACCACCGACUAAGGUCCCCAAUGCUGUACUAAGUGGAGAAGGAUGUAAGACUUCAUAAACAACCAGGAUGUUGGCUUAGAAGCAGCCACCAUUAAAAGAGUGCGUAAUAGCUCACUGGUCGAGAGGCCUUGCGCCGAAGAUGUCCGGGGCUCAAGUACAGAACCGAAGUCGUGGCAGGAUGAAUAAUUCUGGGUAGGGGAGCGUUGUGUAUUCGACUGAAGGUGUACCGUAAGGAGCGCUGGAGGAUACACAAGAGAGAAUGCCGGUAUGAGUAGCGAAAAGAACAGUGAGAAUCUGUUCCACCGAAAGCCUAAGGUUUCCUGAGCAACGCUCGUCGACUCAGGGUAAGUCGGGACCUAAGCCGAGGCAAAAAGCAUAGGCGAUGGACAACAGGUUAAUAUUCCUGUACCGCUUCAAAUCGUUUGAGCAAUGGAGUGACACAGAAGGUAGCUUGAGCACGCGACUGGAAGAGCGUGUCGAAGGUGGUAGGUUGUGAUAUAGGAAAAUCCGUAUCAUAAGACCGAGAGCUGAUAGAUAGACGAUACUUCGGUAGAGUCAAAUUCAAGUGAGCCAUGCUGUCGAGAAAAGCUUCUAGUGAGAGAUGGAGCGCCCGUACCGAAACCGACACAGGUAGGCGGGGAGAGAAUCCUAAGGUGCGCGGGACAACCCUCGUUAAGGAACUCGGCAAAUUGUAUCCGUAACUUAGGGAUAAGGAUAGCCGGAGGAUGUGAAGGGAUUAACUUCUGGAGCGUCAGCCGGUGGCACAAGAGAGGCCCAAGCGACUGUUUAGCACAAACACAGGUGCCUGCGAAAGAGAAAUCUGAAGUAUAGGUGCUGACACCUGCCCGGUGCUGGAAGGUUAAGAGGAGGGCUUAGAGGCAACUCGAAGGCUUGAAUUGAAGCCCCAGUAAACGGCGGCCGUAACUAUAACGGUCCUAAGGUAGCGAAAUUCCUUGUCGGGUAAGUUCCGACCCGCACGAAAGGUGUAACGACUUGGGCACUGUCUCAACGAGGGACCCGGUGAAAUUGAAGUACCUGUGAAGAUGCAGGUUACCCGCGACUGGACAGAAAGACCCCAUGGAGC
This 2086-nucleotide ribosomal RNA is filed under the name Megamonas hypermegale. Its description in RNAcentral is "partial 23S ribosomal RNA". It matches the Rfam family "Bacterial large subunit ribosomal RNA", at positions 1 to 2099 of the family's 2925-position model. Lineage: Bacteria; Bacillati; Bacillota; Negativicutes; Selenomonadales; Selenomonadaceae. The record is from RNAcentral.